RNAcentral lists this ribosomal RNA (642 nucleotides) under uncultured Actinomycetes bacterium. RNAcentral's name for it is "bacterial SSU rRNA". It matches the Rfam family "Bacterial small subunit ribosomal RNA", at positions 232 to 885 of the family's 1533-position model. The record is from RNAcentral. Lineage: Bacteria; Bacillati; Actinomycetota; Actinomycetes.
CGCGGCCUAUCAGCUUGUUGGUGAGGUAACGGCCCACCAAGGCGACGACGGGUAGCCGGCCUGAGAGGGUGACCGGCCACACUGGGACUGAGACACGGCCCAGACUCCUACGGGAGGCAGCAGUGGGGAAUAUUGCACAAUGGGCGCAAGCCUGAUGCAGCAACGCCGCGUGAGGGACGACGGCCUUCGGGUUGUAAACCUCUUUUAGUAGGGAAGAAGCGAAGGUGACGGUACCUGCAGAAAAAGCACCGGCUAACUACGUGCCAGCAGCCGCGGUAAUACAUAGGGUGCAAGCGUUGUCCGGAAUUAUUGGGCGUAAAGAGCUCGUAGGUGGUCGAUCACGUCGGAUGUGAAAUUCUGAGGCUUAACCUCGGACCUGCAUUCGAUACGGGUUGACUAGAGUGUGGUAGGGGAGACUGGAAUUCCUGGUGUAGCGGUGGAAUGCGCAGAUAUCAGGAGGAACACCGAUGGCGAAGGCAGGUCCCUGGGCCAUUACUGACACUGAGGAGCGAAAGCGUGGGGAGCGAACAGGAUUAGAUACCCUGGUAGUCCACGCCGUAAACGGUGGGCGCUAGUUGUGGGAACCUUCCACGGUUUCUGCGACGCAGCUAACGCAUUAAGCGCCCCGCCUGGGGAGUACGG